This 361-nucleotide unclassified non-coding RNA is filed under the name uncultured bacterium. RNAcentral's name for it is "contains 16S-23S intergenic spacer region". The record is from RNAcentral.
UCCGUGUUAACCACGGCAGUCUCGCGUGAAAAGCAACACGCAAUAAGGGUUGCGCUCGUUACCCCACUGAAGGGAACAUCUUACGACACGAGCUGACGACAACCGUGCAGCACCUGUUCAGCACCCUCGUAGGCUACCAAAGUUUCCUAAGGUAUGCAGCUGAAUUUCAAGCCCUGGUAAGGUUCCUCGCUUACCAUCGAAUUAAACCACACGCUCCACCGCUUGUGCGGGCCCCCGUCUAUUCCUUUGAGUUUUAGCCUUGCGGCCGUACUACCCAGGCGGUUCAUUUAACGCGUUAGCUACGACACUGAGAGGGUCGAUACUCCCAAUGCCUAAUGAACAUCGUUUACGGCGUAGAUUA